AAUAGAUACCCAGGUAGUCCACGCCGUAAACGAUGAGUGCUAGGUGUUGGGGGUUUCAAUACCCUCAGUGCCGCAGCUAACGCAAUAAGCACUCCGCCUGGGGAGUACGGUCGCAAGACUGAAACUCAAAGGAAUUGACGGGGGCCCGCACAAGCGGUGGAGCAUGUGGUUUAAUUCGAAGCAACGCGAAGAACCUUACCAGGUCUUGACAUCCCGCUGACCGCUCUGGAGACAGAGCUUCCCUUCGGGGCAGCGGUGACAGGUGGUGCAUGGUUGUCGUCAGCUCGUGUCGUGAGAUGUUGGGUUAAGUCCCGCAACGAGCGCAACCCUUAUCUUUAGUUGCCAGCAUUCAGUUGGGCACUCUAGAGAGACUGCCGUCGACAAGACGGAGGAAGGCGGGGAUGACGUCAAAUCAUCAUGCCCCUUAUGACCUGGGCUACACACGUGCUACAAUGGUUGGUACAACGGGAUGCUACCUCGCGAGAGGACGCCAAUCUCUUAAAACCAAUCUCAGUUCGGAUUGUA
This 525-nucleotide ribosomal RNA is filed under the name uncultured bacterium. RNAcentral describes it as "bacterial SSU rRNA". It matches the Rfam family "Bacterial small subunit ribosomal RNA", at positions 777 to 1302 of the family's 1533-position model. The record is from RNAcentral.